This 492-nucleotide ribosomal RNA is filed under the name uncultured bacterium. RNAcentral's name for it is "partial 16S ribosomal RNA". It matches the Rfam family "Bacterial small subunit ribosomal RNA", at positions 29 to 507 of the family's 1533-position model. The record is from RNAcentral.
AGUGAACGCUGGCGGUAGGCCUAAUACAUGCAAGUCGAACGGAAGCACAGUAAGAGUUCGCCUUUACGGGUGGCGAGUGACGGAUGGGUGAGGCAUACAUCGCCUACCUCUUUUACGUGGGGGACAACGUGGGGCAACUUCUGCUAAUACCGCAUACGUCGUACGGGUGAAAGCAGGGGUUCUUGGGAGCUUUCGUGACUGUUUGAGACGACGUCGGAUUAGCUAGUUGGGUGGGUAAAGGCCCACCAAGGCAACGAUCCGUAGCUGAUCUGAGAGGAUGAUCGGCCACACUGGAACUGAGACACGGUCCAGACUCCUACGGGAGGCAGCAGUAGGGAAUAUUGCACAAUGGGCGAAAGCCUGAUCCAGCCAUGCCGCGUGAGUGAUGAAGGUCUUCGGAUUGUAAAGCCCUUUUAUUAGGAAAGAAAAGCAGCAGAUGAAUACCCCGCUGUUCUGACGGUACCCAAAGAGAAAGCACCGGCUAACUUCGUG